UUCACAGAAUAAUAACAAGUUUGCAGUGCCAUCCAGAAAUCAUCCCUUCGAUUUUUGAAAUUAUUCGCACAUUCUAGCAUAAGGAAGAACCAUGGAAAACAUCCUUCCACACAAACAAACUUCCCAUCAGAGGAAGUUGGACAUUAUUUCUUACCAGCAUGCAUUGUGUUCAACCCGGCACACAUCAAGUCAUGCCAGAUCUGCGCAGCACUGUCUGAAGUUGAACGAGCCAUAUGGUCUUUGCACUUUAAACGUCUCAGGCUCCACUUCCUCCUGGAGAGUUUCCCACCGCACGACUCUUGCACAUGCCAGCAACGUGCAGGACUAACUGCAGCCAGGUCCUCUCCAUGGCACAAAUGGAUUCCGGAAAAAGGCUCUUUCACAUGCCAGCAACGUGCAGGACUAACUGCAGCAAGGUCCUCUCCAUGUUCGGCACUAUACUGAAAAUGGAUUCCAGCAAAAGGUUCCAUCCACCCAGGAUGGACAUGGUACUCAACUCAGGCCUGGCCCUCAGGUACGCUGCGUAGUCUGCUCAAGUACUGGCUGUGACCGUACUGGCCUAUCCACACUAC
This is a long non-coding RNA of Alosa sapidissima (American shad), 572 nucleotides long. RefSeq lists it as uncharacterized. NCBI's taxonomy places the organism in Eukaryota, Metazoa, Chordata, Actinopteri, Clupeiformes, Clupeidae. The transcript is spliced from 3 exons. The record is from RefSeq and is a predicted model, not a curated record.